CGACAGCAAUAUGUAGGUCAGGCUGAAGGUCUUACCUGAAUCGCUGAGAGGAGGUGCAUGGCNGUCGUCAGUUCGUACUGUGAAGCAUCCUGUUAAGUCAGGCAACGAGCGAGACCCGUGCCCACUGUUGCCAGCAUAUCCUUCGGGAUGAUGGGUACUCUGUGGGGACCCGCCGGUGCUAAACCGGAGGAAGGUGCGGGCUACGGUAGGUCAGUAUGCCCCGAAUCUCCAGGGCUACACGCGGGCUACAAUGGUCGGGACAAUGGGUUCCUACCCCGAAAGGGGUUGGUAAUCUCAUAAACCCGCCCGUAGUUCGAAUUGAGGGCUGCAACUCGCCCUCAUGAAGCUGGAAUCCGUAGUAAUCGCGUUUCAACAGAACGCGGUGAAUACGUCCCUGCUCCUUGCACACACCGCCCGUCAAACCACCCGAGUAGGGUCUGAAUGAGAGCGCUUUCUUUGGAGGCGUUCGAAUUUGGGCUUUGCAAGGGGGGUUAAGUCGUAACAAGGUAACCUCAGUCAGUCAA
Molecule: ribosomal RNA, 524 nt
Filed under: uncultured archaeon
Lineage: Archaea
Description: bacterial SSU rRNA
Rfam family: Archaeal small subunit ribosomal RNA
Source: RNAcentral